GACCAUCGUUCAUCACUUCAUCAAAAAUUAAAAACUUACAGAUUCCAGCGAAAUACAGCGAGAUUUCGGCGACAAACAACGAAAUUCUGGCGAGGAGAGAGCUUAGAACUCACGAAUUCCGACGAAUGAGAGAGAGCACGAAUUCCGGCGAAUGAGAGAGAGAGGGGGGAUAUUUGGAAAGUAAUUUCUCAAGCCACCGUUACUGAUCGGAAUCUCUAUCCGUGAUUUUCGUUUUACUGUCGGAUAUCCGUAAAUAUUCGGUAUUCCGGGUCGGCAAGGAUAGUUACAUGGACCGAAACAGAUCCGCCCUUUCGUACCGAUCCCGAAUUCAAAAAAACCGGCAUAGCCGUCGGAAUUUCGCAAUAUAAGCGAAAUUUUGAACCAACAUCAGUUGGAGGUUGAUUGAUCUUAUGUUCUGUAUUGCAAACGUCUAGCAUU
This 438-nucleotide long non-coding RNA is filed under the name Aquilegia coerulea. RNAcentral describes it as "long non-coding RNA (ACOE_LNC000042)". Lineage: Eukaryota; Viridiplantae; Streptophyta; Magnoliopsida; Ranunculales; Ranunculaceae. The record is from RNAcentral.